This is a long non-coding RNA of Helianthus annuus (common sunflower), 581 nucleotides long. RefSeq lists it as uncharacterized. The transcript is spliced from 2 exons. Lineage: Eukaryota; Viridiplantae; Streptophyta; Magnoliopsida; Asterales; Asteraceae. The record is from RefSeq and is a predicted model, not a curated record.
UAAAUUUAUAUGCUUAGUAGCACAGGCAAUCGACCCUAAAAAAAUAAGUAGAAAACUAGACACAUCUGCUGGAAUUUUUUUUCCUGAUCAUCUUAUUUUCACCCCCUCUAGUUCUUCCUAGUCAUAGUCUCCCAUCUACACCUUCUCCCUUCUUUUCAAAGGAUCUUUCACUAUGGUAGUCUCUUUGGCACAUUUUCUGUUUGUGUUCUUCAUGGAUUUACAUUAUGUGAGUUAACGACGUUUUUCUAAGCUUUAAUAUGGAACCUACCACAUCUUUUAGGUUUCGGUCAAUGUUCACCAAGAUGUGGCACUACACUAAGAGCUAUAUCGAUUCCCGAAGAGUGCAAACCUUUAGUAUCCCGAGAGGUGCUAAAUUCAGGGAGUUUCAAGACCUUGUGACUCUGAGGUUUGGUAUCAGUGCUGAAAAUACUUAAGUUUGAAUAAUGGAACUCUUAGGCUUGAUGGAUAAGAUUACGACUAUUUAGUUAUAGUGGGACUUAAUAAAAAUGUUUCUAAGAAUAUUGUUGUAAGGCAUGGUAACUAGAUUGUGCUUCACUAAGAAGAAAGAUAGUUAAAACUUU